Molecule: ribosomal RNA, 90 nt
Filed under: Thermodesulfobacterium geofontis
Lineage: Bacteria; Pseudomonadati; Thermodesulfobacteriota; Thermodesulfobacteria; Thermodesulfobacteriales; Thermodesulfobacteriaceae
Also listed under: 1 other name
Source: RNAcentral
CCCGUUCCCAUUCCGAACACGGUCGUUAAGCCCUCCAGGGCCGAUGGUACUGGGGCGUUACCGCCCUGGGAGAGUAGGUCGGUGCCCGGG